GAAAAAUUGAGGGCAAACCAAAAUCCUUGUCUGGGAACAAUGAAUGGUUGUACAGAGUUUUGGUCCAACCCAAGUGAAGUAGAUGCUGAGAUUUGUUACUGGAUGAGUGAAAAUUUUGACCUGCUAGUGGCAUUAGAGGAAAACUUUAAAACCGAGAUUAAAAUACCGAGACAUGACAACUAAAA
Molecule: long non-coding RNA, 185 nt
Organism: Etheostoma spectabile (orangethroat darter)
Lineage: Eukaryota; Metazoa; Chordata; Actinopteri; Perciformes; Percidae
Exons: 3
Source: RefSeq, a predicted model, not a curated record